GAGAGAAGGGCGCUGUCUCGUUGCGCUCUUGUUCCGAUAUAAACCUCCGUUCUAACUGCAUCAUCUCGCUGUGAAACCUGCUCUGUGUCUCCAGGGAUCUCUGCUCCGCCGUGAGGAAGAACCAGCUGAACAUGUCUUCUGUGGAUGGAGAGGAGGACAGAUCAGAGUCUGAGGACAGAGAGAAGAAGAGCAGUGAUGUCUGUGAGGAGCAGCCAGAAAGAUCCAGAAGCGUCGCU
Salarias fasciatus (jewelled blenny) is the source of this 236-nucleotide long non-coding RNA. RefSeq lists it as uncharacterized. Lineage: Eukaryota; Metazoa; Chordata; Actinopteri; Blenniiformes; Blenniidae. The record is from RefSeq and is a predicted model, not a curated record. The transcript has 3 exons.